UUUUUUCAUUUUCAUUUUCCUUGAUCUUCGAGACUGGUUUUUUGCUUGUCUCCUCCUUUUUUUGAGAUUUUCAAACUUUUUUUUUUCGAAAUUGCACCUAAACAUAUAAAAGAAAGGAGACUAUAUAAUACUGAAAUUACUCAAUUUAACAACUUUAUUAACUCCUAGACUCGACCGAGUUACAUGCUACUAAUGUAUAAAUGAUCAAAUGAAGGAUUCAAAGAAAGGGGAUACGAUAUUAUGGGGUUAUGAAAAAGCCUUUUUG
Molecule: long non-coding RNA, 265 nt
Filed under: Linum usitatissimum (flax)
Lineage: Eukaryota; Viridiplantae; Streptophyta; Magnoliopsida; Malpighiales; Linaceae
Description: long non-coding RNA (LUSI_LNC005257)
Source: RNAcentral